AAGUCAGGUAGUAAGGGCGCAGGGCGGAUGCCUUGGCUCUGGGAAGCGAUGAAGGACGUGGCUAGCUGCGAUAAGCCUCGGGGAAGAGCAAACAUCUUUUGAUCCGGGGAUUUCCGAAUGGGGGAACCCGCAUGGCUGUUGAGGCCAUGCACUGUUGAGUGAAUACAUAGCUCAUCAGGGCGAACUCGGGGAACUGAAACAUCUCAGUACCCGAAGGAAUAGAAAUCAACCGAGAUUCUGUUAGUAGCGGCGAGCGAACGCGGAAGAGCCCAAACCAUCAGGUGCGCCUGAUGGGGUUGUAGGGCCGUCAAUAAAGGAUAAUUGGAGAAUUAGCUGAAGUGUCUGGGAAGGCACGGCACAGAGGGUUAGACCCCCGUAAGCGAAAGUUUGAAGAUGUCCGAGACGGUACCUGAGUAGGACGGGACACGAGAAAUCCCGUUUGAAUCUGGGGGGACCACCCUCCAAGGCUAAAUAUUACCCAGAGACCGAUAGUGAACCAGUACCGUGAGGGAAAGGUGAAAAGCACCUCGAAUAGAGGAGUGAAAUAGAUCCUGAAACCCUGUGUCUACAAGCAGUGGAAGCACUACUGAUCUUCGGAUCAUGUGCGACCGCGUGCCUUUUGCAUAAUGAGCCAACGAGUUGUCUGUCGGUGGCAGGUUAAGUUUUUAACGAAGCCACAGCGAAAGCGAGUCCGAAAUGGGCGUUAGUCAUCGGCAACAGACCCGAAACCGAGUGAUCUACCCCUGUCCAGGUUGAAGCCUGGGUAAGACCAGGUGGAGGACCGAACCGUUGAGCCUUAAAACGUUCUCGGAUGAGGUGGGGGUAGGAGUGAAAGGCUAAUCAAACUCGGAGAUAGCUGGUUCUCCCCGAAAUAUAUUGAGGUAUAGCCUCGUGAUAGACCGCCGGAGGUAGAGCACUGGAUGGACUAGGGCCCUCACCAGGGUACCAAACCCAACCAAACUGCAAAUACCGGCGAGUUGUUUCACGGGAGUCAGACAGCGGGAGCUAACUUUCGUUGUCGAGAGGGAAACAACCCAGACCAUCAGCUAAGGCCCCCAAGUCAUGACUAAGUGGGAAAGGAAGUGGGAGCGCCCAGACAACCAGGAGGUUGGCUUAGAAGCAGCCACCCUUUAAAGAAAGCGUAACAGCUCACUGGUCAAGCGAGCCUGCACCGAAAAUAUAACGGGGCUCAAGUCAUGCGCCGAAGCUAUGGGAUUUAUAUUUAUAUAAAUCGGUAGGGGAGCGUUCCCUGUGCGGCGAAGCUGAAUCGAGAGGGUCAGUGGAGCGCAGGGAAGUGAGGAUGUUGGCAUAAGUAACGAAAAUGCGAGCGAGAAACUCGCACGCCGAAAGCCCAAGGUUUCCCGGGCCAUGUUAUUCAGCCCGGGGUUAGUCGGCACCUAAGACGAGGCCGAAAGGCGUAGUCGAUGGAAAACCGGUUCAUAUUCCGGUACUUGCAUGUGCGCGUGAUGGAGGGACGCAGGAGGAUAGCCCGGCCAAGUGAUGGAUAUCUUGGUUCAAGGCCGUAGGCGGAAGUCUCAGGUAAAUCCGGGACUUCUAUAACGCCGAGAGUCGAUGACGAGAGGCUUUGCUUCGCAAAGCGGUCGAUUCCACACUGCCAAGAAAAGCUUCUAAGCAUAGCACAGGCAAACCGUACCCCAAACCGACACAGGUGGGCGGGUAGAGAAUACCAAGGCGCUUGAGGGAAAUCAUGUUAAGGAACUCUGCAAAUUGACUCCGUAACUUCGGAAGAAGGAGUGCCUGCGGUGGUGAAGGGACUUGCUCCCUGAGCUGCUGCGGGCCGCAGUGACCAGGCCCAGCCGACUGUUUAGCAAAAACACAGCACUCUGCUAAAUCGCAAGAUGAUGUAUAGGGUGUGACGCCUGCCCGGUGCCGGAAGGUUAAUGGGAGGGGUUAGUUCUUCGGAACGAAGCUCCGAACUGAAGCCCCGGUAAACGGCGGCCGUAACUAUAACGGUCCUAAGGUAGCGAAAUUCCUUGUCGGGUAAGUUCCGACCUGCACGAAUGGCGUAACGAUCUGGGCGCUGUCUCAAUGUGAUUCUCAGUGAAAUUGAAAUGGCGGUGAAGAUACCGUCAACCCGCGGCAAGACGGAAAGACCCCGUGCACCUUUACUGCAGCUUGGCAGUGAACUUGGGAAAGAUUUGUGUAGGAUAGGUGGGAGGCUAUGAAGGGGGGGCGCUAGUCCCUCUGGAGCCAUCCUUGAAAUACCACCCUGAUUUUUUCUGUGUUCUAACUUAGUCCCGUUAU
RNAcentral lists this ribosomal RNA (2265 nucleotides) under Nitrospinaceae bacterium. RNAcentral describes it as "partial 23S ribosomal RNA". It matches the Rfam family "Bacterial large subunit ribosomal RNA", at positions 1 to 2239 of the family's 2925-position model. The record is from RNAcentral. Lineage: Bacteria; Pseudomonadati; Nitrospinota; Nitrospinia; Nitrospinales; Nitrospinaceae.